This 245-nucleotide ribosomal RNA is filed under the name uncultured bacterium. RNAcentral describes it as "partial 16S ribosomal RNA". It matches the Rfam family "Bacterial small subunit ribosomal RNA", at positions 524 to 766 of the family's 1533-position model. The record is from RNAcentral.
UACAGAGGUCACAAGCGUUAUCCGGAUUUAUUGGGCGUAAAGCGUUUCGUAGGCGGACUUGUAAGUUAUCCUUCAAAGACCACGGCUCAACCGGGGGAAGGGGGGUAAUACUGUGAGUCUCAGACUCGUGGUGGGGCUUCUGGAACUGAUGGUGUAGUAGUGAAAUACGUUGAUAUCAUCAGGAACUCCAAGGGCGAAGGCAGGAAGCUAACCACGCAGUGACGCUGAGGAACGACAGCUAGGGG